UCUGCGCUUAUGAUAAUUGUGAUCGUACGGUGGAGGAUGAUUGAUAAGGGUAUGCAUUUACUGCUCUUCCCGGACGGAGAUAUAAUGAUGUCAUCAUUCCGGCCCGCGUCGUGGAGACUGCCGAAUGAGUGAAACUCCAUUUUGUGAGGGGUUUGCUGCUGGUGGUGAUGAAAUGCCAUUUUUGCGAGUUGAGUUGUGAGAAAAGAGAGAGAAAAGCUUAAAGUUGUUGGCUUUUCAGUACAACCACUUCACUCAAAUUCAACUGCUCAUUGUUUAUAUGAAGAGGUCCUCAUUUGAUGCGGGAUAAGGUUAUGACAAGGUGAAGGAGAUGAGCAAUGCAAGCCCGAGUCUCUGACGGAGGUGGAAGCUUUUUCAGAUGUUGUCUUCUAUAAAUCUGUCUCCCCUUGCAAUUCUGGCGGUCGAGUUUGGACCAGAUCCAUCAAGCUUCUUAUUUCCUCAUCCCCGCUACCGUAUGAUGGUUAUUGAAGGUAAGCUCAAAACGCCCAAAUUAACAGUCGAGCAGAGGCCAGAGAAACUUGUAACGCCAAACGACUCAUUCGGGGACUGACUUGGCAGCGGAGACGAAGCCUGAGCUGCAACCAUUGUCGACGACUCUGCUUGCUACAAACCGUUUUAUGUGCGAAUAUCUGUAACCAGUGAAUUCCUCAAGACACCUAACAAGAAAUACAGCCCAGGCCCAAUCUCUCUCUCCCUCG
This 716-nucleotide long non-coding RNA is filed under the name Malus domestica (apple). RNAcentral describes it as "long non-coding RNA (MDOM_LNC003259)". The record is from RNAcentral. Lineage: Eukaryota; Viridiplantae; Streptophyta; Magnoliopsida; Rosales; Rosaceae.